Molecule: ribosomal RNA, 408 nt
Filed under: uncultured bacterium
Lineage: Bacteria
Description: partial 16S ribosomal RNA
Rfam family: Bacterial small subunit ribosomal RNA
Source: RNAcentral
GACGAACGCUGGCGGCGUGCCUAAUACAUGCAAGUCGACCUUAGUGGCGAACUGGUGAGUAACACGUGGGUCACCUGCGCAUCAUAAGGGGAUAAAACGUGGAAACAGGUGCUAAUACCGUAUAAUGGUAGUAGGUCCCGCGGUGCAUUAGCUAGUUGGUGAGGUAACGGCUCAGCAAGGCCACGAUGCAUAGCCGACCUGAGAGGGUGAUCGGCCACAUGGGGACUGAGACACGGCCCAAACUCCUACGGGAGGCAGCAGUAGGGAAUCUUCGGCAAUGGACGAAAGUCUGACCGAGCAACGCCGCGUGAGUGAAGAAGGUUUUCGGAUCGUAAAACUCUGUUGUUAGAGAAGCGGUAUCUAACCAGAAAGCCACGGCUAACUACGUGCCAGCAGCCGCGGUAAUAC